CUGGGUUGCCACUACAUGCAGCUGGACAUCACUGGUAGAUUAUGGGACUAACAAGAAUUAUUUUAAUGAUCAAUAAUUCUCGAUUAGUGAGUUAAAAUUAUUUCAAUCCAUUGAAAGGAGUUUCAAUGAUAUUUUAAUGGAGAUCAAAAUAUUUCUCACUACUAGAUAGAAUAGAACCUAUGGGGUCAUACAUAAAGAGAUUUUGACUGAUUGGACUGUCGAAUCAUGAUUUCAAAUCACAAAUCACAAAUGAUCUCAAUUAUCAAUUUGAUUGAUGAUUGGACUUAAAUGUAAAAGUUACAUAAGGGCU
This 310-nucleotide long non-coding RNA is filed under the name Elaeis guineensis (African oil palm). RNAcentral describes it as "long non-coding RNA (EGUI_LNC039907)". Lineage: Eukaryota; Viridiplantae; Streptophyta; Magnoliopsida; Arecales; Arecaceae. The record is from RNAcentral.